This 429-nucleotide ribosomal RNA is filed under the name uncultured bacterium. RNAcentral describes it as "bacterial SSU rRNA". It matches the Rfam family "Bacterial small subunit ribosomal RNA", at positions 398 to 819 of the family's 1533-position model. The record is from RNAcentral.
CGCGUGAGUGAAGAAGGUUUUCGGAUCGUAAAACUCUGUUGUCAGAGAAGAACAAGUCGGGAGAGUAACUGCUCCGACCUUGACGGUAUCUGACCAGAAAGCCACGGCUAACUACGUGCCAGCAGCCGCGGUAAUACGUAGGUGGCAAGCGUUGUCCGGAUUUAUUGGGCGUAAAGCGAGCGCAGGCGGUUCCUUAAGUCUGAUGUGAAAGCCCACGGCUCAACCGUGGAAGGUCAUUGGAAACUGGGGAACUUGAGUGCAGAAGAGGAGAGUGGAAUUCCAUGUGUAGCGGUGAAAUGCGUAGAUAUAUGGAGGAACACCAGUGGCGAAGCGACUCUCUGGUCUGUAACUGACGCUGAGGCUCGAAAGCGUGGGGAGCAAACAGGAUUAGAUACCCUGGUAGUCCACGCCGUAAACGAUGAGUGCUAA